Molecule: long non-coding RNA, 3428 nt
Organism: Gasterosteus aculeatus aculeatus (three-spined stickleback)
Lineage: Eukaryota; Metazoa; Chordata; Actinopteri; Perciformes; Gasterosteidae
Source: Ensembl
GUGGGUGAGAGGGAGGGGGGGGGGUGUAAGACGCUAUUCCAUUGGAUAGUUUUCGCCCCCCCUCUUCGAUCUGCUCAGCAUUCAGGAAGCGAUCGCUGCCUCUGACGCCAUGAGGUCACAGUUGUUCGCCGGCAGAGACGCGCACGGACGCACCGCUCCUGUCCGAUCGUCCGCUUCUCGGCGCUUUAAAAAGAAAAGCGAGCAGGAUUUCUUUCAAGAACUGCGCGGUUGGUCGACAGAGCCGCGAGGGACUAUCAAGGGAGAAAUCGACCCCCUCCGAUAAGUUGUUUUCUUCCGCGAGCCGCAGUUUGCCACUGGAACCAUGGUGGCGGCGGUCAUCCCCUUGUACUUCUUUGGAACGGCGCUGAGCGUCCUCGCAGUCCUCUACGGGAUUGUGGACUCCUUUGGGGGGCUGAUGUACGUCCAGGACUGUCCCCACGUCAUGGACUUUGACUGGCAGACGCAGUGGCAGCUCUCCCCGGGCCGCCAACGGAGAGCAUCUCCUCCGGCCAAGAACGUCGGCUCGUGAGGGGACGCGUCUCGUGUUUUAUUUUGCUGCUGGCUGGACCAUGUGGCCAACGGAUGGAUAUUCAGGACAUCUGACUCUCGUCUGCGCUGAACGGAUUGUUUGAACCAUGUCCACGGGUUCCAGAGAGCUCCCACGUCUGCGCGCGGUGCCUUCAAACGCGGCUCGCGGGCAAACUUGACGCCAGAAAUGUUGCAGCACUACUGAAUCAUUUGCACUAACAAUCGGAAUGUUUUGUCUUUUUCAAUAUUACCGGAUUAAAAUGAUUUGGUUUAAAGGUGUAACAGUGAGUAAAAAAACUGCACCCUCCACAAAUAUUUACUCCGGAUGUUAUACGGUUGUAAGUCGGGUUGAAAAGUAUGUAGUGAAAGACUGAAAGCAAUUUGGAACUAAAGGAAUCUCACGUUGUCGCUAUGAAUACUUAUCAGUCCUCACCCUCUAAGCACAGGAGACAAAACAAGCUCGGCCUCCGAUCUGCCGUGUAGGAAAGAAGAAGUUUAAUCAGUGAUCGUUCCCUUUUCUGGUUGCGCAACAGGAAAGGGAUUAUGUUCACGAGGAUCAUUGUCCCUGUGGUCCGUCAACAAAGGCGCGGGGAAUUCUCCCUGAUGUUUACCCGCUUUCAGGUUAGCGUUUUACUUCCUGUGUGGAUCAGUGUCAUUGGGUCCAGGUUUUAAUGGUCAAAGGUCAAUCUGAGUUCCCACAAUGGAUUUUUGGGCAAGUGUACAUAAGUGAUGACAAUUUCCUACAAUUGUUUUAUUGGAAAACAUUAAAAUGGUUGAGACAUGCAAACCGGUAAUUCUUCCGUCAUGACUUGAUGAGCGGUAAAAGUGAGAGUAUUCCUCGGUGAGAGCCGUUUAGCACAUGUUGAAACGAAUAUCCAGCACACGAUGUGGAAGCUGAACAAUGUGAAUCACGAUUAUCUGUCGCUGAGUCAGUCGGCCCUCAGCCGCGGGACUCCGCAGGCCGACAGCUCGUCAAAAUGAGUGCAAACCCACAUAAACAAACUGAACUACUGAACUCAAGGGUCCCAGGCACGUAAGAUAAGGAAAUACAAAAUGAUGAAAUUACACCUAAAAUAACACACCGUGCUCGUUACUAGAAAAAUGAAAUACCGUCUCAAGCAAAGGGACGUAGUCAUGGUCAGGGUGGAUUAAUAAAAGGUGGAUUAAUCAAUGCGGCUGCUGCUUCGGCUUUGAGCGGUGAAACAAAUCACCUCAUUAGACCGGAAUGGAGGAAACGGCACCCAAAUGAAAGCUCGUGGGAACCUUAGAUUUCCCAAUAUAAGUGACGUAAAUGGUUCAGCCGUGGUUGUAUUUCACGGCGCUCCCUGGUUGGUUUGGCUGUUGCUCUGUGUUGAUGCUGCAGGCCUGUGGGGGGGUGGGGGGGGGGCAGCAUUAGUCAGCACACCUGGGCCUGCUGGGCCUCCGCUCCCCACAUUCAGCGGUUCCCUCCCUGCUGACUUUACAGAUGUGUGCUACCCUUUUGUUCCCAUCGCAAGAUCGCCUUUGGUUUGUAUUUGUUUUGUUUAUUUUAAGAAUUGUUGUAAAUAAAUAACUUGUGUUGUAUAAACUGUCUCCGUUUUUUUCAGCAACACUUUCACAUAUUCAAGUGUUUUCCAAUCCAAAAAACUCAUAACAGUGUUUGUCAGUGCAAAGACAAAACGGUUGCACUCGUACAGAAAUACUUCACAAAGACAACGUCUGGAAAUCCCAAAAAGCCUGUUGGUGUUAUGGGAAGUGUACGAGUCAUCAUUGAUGACUAUUAGGGUCCGUAUGCUUCUCUGCUCAUGAGUUUACUUGCCUUUAGGGUACCAAAAAAACCCAUAAAAUACAGUGGAGCUUGAACAGUUCGGGUCCCAUUGAGCGCUUCCCAGUCACGACGUUCCUCUGUCCUCAGUGGGGGUGAGGACGUGUUCCAGGCGGUUCUCGCUCCACUACAGAAGUUGACCUUUUUUUAAAACUGUCAAAAGACUAAACAAGCAAGCGCUUGGUCUCCUGUCUGGCAUGUGGACAAGACGUUUAAUGAUGAUUGCGCAACAGGAAAACAGGGAUUAUGUUCGCUAGGGUCAUCGUGUCACACGUAUGACCACACCCUAGUUUGGUUUCAUCUCACCUGCUCUCACUUCGGAUCCUCCCACAUCAGCUCAUUACCCUCACCUGCUUCUCCACGCCCUUCUCCCCUGCAGUGACGUACAUGUAGGAACAAAUAUCCAACCCCCAAUCUGGAAGCCGAACAAUGUGAAUCACAAUUAUCUCUCACUGAGUCACUUGGCUGCAACCGUGGAAUUCCACAGGCGAUUGACUCGGGCCGACAGCUCGUCAAAAUGAAUGAAAGCCACAUCAACGCUUUGUUGAACGAAACCGACCGAACUGUUGAGUAGUUCAGUCUGUUCCGUUCGGGGUCCCCGGCACGUAAGAUAAGAUGAGACAAUAUACUUCAACUAAAAGGAAAUCUAGUUGGUGCAGCAGCACAAGGAGACAAAUGAAAAAAGGAAAUACAAAAUGAGAAUUCCACUUGAGGUGGUACUAGAAAAAUGAAAUACCGUCUCAAGCAAAGGGACGUAGUCAUGGUCAGGGUGGAUUAAUACAUGGUGGAUUAAUCAAUGCGGGUGCUGCUUCGGCUUUGAGCGGUGAAACAAAUCACCUCAUUAGACCGGAAUGGAGGAAACGGCACCCAAAUGAAAGCUCGUGGGAAGCUUAGAUUUCCCAAUAUAAGUGACGUAAAUGGUUCAGCUGUGGUUGUAUUAUUAUACAGCAUUAGUCAGCACACCUGGGCCUGCUGGGCCUCCGCUCCCCACAUUCAGCGGUUCCCUCCCUGCUGACUUUACAGAUGCGUGCUACCCUUUUGUUCCCAUCGCAAGAUCGCCUUUGGUUUGUAUUUGUUUUGUUUAUUUUAAGAAUUG